CUGAAUCGAUUCUCAAAAAAAAAAUGAAGACAACUGAAUUUAUUCUUUGUUUCUCUUUCAAUGACAAAAAAAACUGAUGCACUUCCAUCCGUCCGAUCAAGAUUUUCAGUGUUCUUUGCCCUGAGUUCGUCCUGAUUGUGAAUUUUACAAGAGCGCCUCUAGUACUUCUUUGCCGCAUUGUUUCAACAACUAGGUAGGUACUUAUGAUUCCUAUUCACCUCUCAAGACCUGAAAGUAUCAUUAUCUUGUGCUAGUUGCUCUUUCCCCGGGUAUCUAGUUGGUCCCAAUACCUUCAAAUCAUUGAAAAAAAAUAUGUUUAGCUCAAUAUCCAAAAAGAGAAGUUGGAGACAUCUAGCUCACUUGAGGAAGUUUGUUCAUUGACCAAGCUUUACAAAAAAAAAUUGGCAUAUGUGCAUUAUCUAUACAAUCACAUGAUUCUUAAAAAAAAUAUACAACCACAUUAGUUGUUUCCUAUUUUGCCUAGCAGUCAAGGAAUCAUUAUCGAGUACAAUGGUCGGAUUAACUUUGUUGCGCUAGCUGUUUUUCAGUGGAAUUGAGCUCCACAUGGACAUGUCAGGCGGUCCAGGUGGAUCUAUUACCCCCUCAGAGCAUGGUUAAUAAUACAAUCAACAAUCGGCUAUAAAAGUUGUCAUGUCAUCUAAAGCCAACCUGAAAAAUCUAAAGCUAAUUUAAUAGCCAACAUGUAUAAUUGUAAAUUUUGAAUGUGUAUUGUUUUAUUAAUAAUUGGUCCACCUUACAACCUCACAAAGUGUCUUGUGAUUCGGGUUGCAGCUGGCUACUAAUCAAGAGCCCGCUUCUCUUCUCUCUCUUCCAACUAAGCAAAGAUAUACUCCUUCCGUUCGGAAAUACUUGUAGGAGGAAUAAAUGUAUCUAGACGUAUUAUAGUUCUAGAUACAUUCAUUUUUAUCCACUUCUCCGACAACUAUUUCCAAAUAGAGGGAGUAGUAUUUUUAGUCCUUAUAGCCUACUUAUGUCACCUUACUGUACUUGCUCUCAAAAUGUUCCUCCCUCAGUCCCCAUAAUUUAAGACGUUUUUUUGACACUAAAGAGAAUAACGUAAGAGUAUUUCUUAUUACUACUACCGGAAAAAUCAUGUAGCUAAAUUGUUUUUUUUUUUGCGAGUGUCAUGUAGCUAAAUUUGAUAGGAGUAUGUGUAUCCAAUGCAGAUCCUAUGCAUUGCUUUUGUAACUACAUGUAGCUAAAUUCCUCGAAAAAAACUACAUGUAGCUAAAUUGAUCUUUUUUGCGAGUGUCAUGUAGCUAAAUUGUUUUAAAAAGGCGCUAUUCUAUAUAAUAAGCAUAUAAGGACAAAUCUUGUGCUAAAUAUAGUCAAGUGUAUUUACAUGUACUACCUCCGUCCGAAAAUACUUGUCAUCAAAAUGGAGAAAAAGGGAUGUAUCUAGAACUAAAAUACAUCUAGAUACAUCCCCUUUUAUUCAUUUGGAUGACAAGUAUUUCCGGACGGAGGGAGUAUCACUCUACUACUCUAGCUUUCGCAUGGUAGCUAGCCAUGAGUCUUCCACAAAAUGGCCUACCAUAGUUUCCUCUCCCAAGUCCCAACGCAGAACCAUCAUCUUGUCCUUCAAAACCCAUUGUGUUAAAACAAAUAUCAUUUUUUUAAUUAGAUUAAUCCAGAAAAAGAACCAUGGAAAUCAUGUUAGCACAAUUGAUCAUCAAGAAUAAACUAAAAACGCGAGCAUUGUUCAUGGUAGGAAGGUCUGUAUGGCCACAUGCAAAGAAGAGUUGAAUGGUCAUCUCAUGAGUUUGAGCACCGCAAAUGACAAGUAUCCAAAUUAUGUGGCCAUGCUCGGUUAUAUACGCACAUUUCCAUGGCACGACCAAGAAGAAGCACAAGGAUUGGACCUGUGACAAGUGUCUUCAUGGGGAGCAAAGAAGAAAUUCGUUGUAGUCUCCAAGGAAAACAACCUUGAGAAUAUCAUUAUAGUUUUGUUUGCGGCCAGCAAAAAAGCUGCCAUUCUCAAGGUCAUUUCCCUUGGCGAUGAGGUUGAACUUUUUUGCUUUGACUCCGAGUUGCGACACCUGUCUCAGUUCCCUCCAUGUGCGUCUUCUUGGUUGGCUUCAUGUUCUCCCUAGCGUCGAUGACACUAAGGAUCCUGGCGAUGAGGAAGAGGAUUGUGACCAAGGAGCAUCACCAUGGUCGAACGGUUCUAGAGCUAGGUGAAUG
Molecule: long non-coding RNA, 2205 nt
Filed under: Triticum aestivum (bread wheat)
Lineage: Eukaryota; Viridiplantae; Streptophyta; Magnoliopsida; Poales; Poaceae
Description: long non-coding RNA (TAES_LNC011272)
Rfam family: MIR1120/MIR1122 microRNA precursor family (bases 1363-1497)
Source: RNAcentral